This is a long non-coding RNA of Ictalurus furcatus (blue catfish), 6961 nucleotides long. RefSeq lists it as uncharacterized. The transcript is spliced from 3 exons. The record is from RefSeq and is a predicted model, not a curated record. Lineage: Eukaryota; Metazoa; Chordata; Actinopteri; Siluriformes; Ictaluridae.
CUGUGUUUUCUUGUUCAGGCCGAGGGAUUAUGAUCAUUUGUGGUGACACGGACCGAUGAGGGUGGAAAACCCAUGGAAGCUAGGUCACUGAGGGGAGGAGGGAGGGAGAGACGGAGACCGAGCAGGAGCACAGACACUCAUGCACAAAGCCUCUAAAUAAGUCCGGGUUUAUACAAGUCGAGUAUAAUCUGAGCCCUAAUCUGACAUUUUUUACUUGCUGGGUAUCGCAGGUGAACUCUUCAGUUGAGGUUACUUUAUUUUGGCUUAACCUUCAGCUUUGGGAAAAUAUUUUGGGAAUGGUGAGGUGAGACAUGAUAGUGGAAUGUGUCUGUGUGUAUAUGUAGGUUCUGAUAACCUGGUACGCUAUGGCACUCUGGAGAGUCUCGUGAACGAUGUGGCUGAUGACACGUGGGACAACAGAGCCACGAAUAGAAUGAGCACCAUCCGAUUCCUCGAUGACGACGAUGAACAGGUGAGAGAAUUGUGAAAUGCUGGACUCUGUAUCACCUGAUUGAGCUUCCGUGUGUGUGUGCGCGUGUGUGUUAAACUGAAAUAACAACUCGGACUAUUAUUACUAUUACUAUUAUAUUACUACUGCUACCAUCUAAUUUAUAAGAUUGGUUUUGAUGCACGUGUUUACUGUAUCAUUAAUUAAAAUGCAAAUGUGCAAACGCUUAUGUCAGAGUGUCAGAAUCCCGAGUUUGAGUGAGGAAACUUUCACGCCUGUGGAUUUCGGACAUUACGCUGUAGGUUGCCGAGUCAGGAUUGUCAGAAUUUUUGGAAACCCGACUAAAUGAAUGAAGUGCAUUCAGUAAAUAGCAAAAUAACGAAGUAUAUAAACACAAAAUCCAAUGGCAAGAAAUUCCUGACAGUUCAUCUUUGUUAAUACAGGGAGUGACCCUGGUGGUAUGAACCACACUUGGGAACUAAUAAAAUUAGAAUAUAAAGCAUAAGGUAGCCUUUGAGUACGAUAGUUGUCACACGGGUCAUGUUUGCUGCGGUCCAAAUCCGAGUGCGAUUGUUCCCCCCGUUGGUCUGGUUUCAGACUCACUCGAACGCAGGUGCAACAGAUAUUAUGCGCAGCAGUGGACCUCUUCUGUGUCCCACAAAUUCCCCUGCCGCUCAUGGUACACGUGUUGUGGAGACUACGUCGUAAUGAUGCCGUCCUCAGCUAAAACGCACACGCAGGUUACUUUACUUCCUGAAUAAGUGCGGAACGGAGUACGAUUUGCGUUCAUAUUCACUGGAAUCGUGGCUCGGUUCCAAAACAACCGAACUAGGACCACCUCCUUCAGGUAGUCUCAGGUCCGGUACCGCGCUGUGCUUCCCGGUCCACGUGACAGCUUUCACAUUACACACAAACCACGCUCAGACUGAGCUGCCAGUGCGAAAGCCCUCUAAGAGUCUGAUUUUGGAUCCGUAAUUAAAGCUAUGCCCUUGCUUUAGGGGCUUACUUCGCCUUCAGUCACUGUCGUUGAUUAUUUAUCUGGAACAGCACACCUGUGGUGUUUUAUUCUGUACUUGGUGUGGUACACUGAGAGUUGGGAGUAAAGUCAUUCAAAUGGCCUUGUUCUGUAAACAUAGCCCUGUCCUGUUCUGUGAUGAAUGAAUCACUGUUGUAAGAAAAGAGUAGAGCAGAAACCUGUAUUGCUAUGUGACCGGGACCUGUGAGAAUUGUUUAAAUGGUUUUCUAAUAGUACAGUACAGAUUUAUACACUCAUUGGUAUAUCCCUGCUCAUUCAUGCAGUUAUCCAAUACAUGAAAUCAUGUAGAUAAAAUGUGGACGUCUUCUCAGGUUCGGCAUGUUUUUUUUUUUGUUUUUUUUCCAUUUUAUGGUAGCCUUCUUCUCGGCUCGACCCAGUCUAGCUAUCGAGCUCUCUUUUGAUCUCGCUCAUCAACAAGCCGUUUCCACUCUUAGUUCCGCCACUCGAUGGUUUUUUGCACCAUCUUGAAUAAACUCAGGAGGCUGUGAAAUUCCAAGCAGAUCAGUAGCUUCUGAAAUACGCAAAUACCCGUCUGGCACCAGCAACCAUGCCACCGAGUCACCGAGAGCACAUUUUCCCCCUAUUCAGAUGUUUGAUGUGAACAUUUCCUGAAGCCGUUGAUGUAUAUCUGCAUGAUUUUAUGCACUGUGCUGCUGCCACAUGAUUGUCUGAUUGGAUAAUUGCACAGCUGUGCAGCUGUACAGGUGUUUGUCUUAAAGUGGCCAGUGAGUGUAUGUAUAGUGAUACUAUAGGUUAUAAAUGCAGAAAAUGCACUAAGUUAGCCUUUCUGUUAUUAAAUACACGGACCUUUUGCCUACACUCAUCAUUUAGCUUUAUUAUUAUUAUUAUUAUUAUUAUUAUUAUUGUUAGCAGAAUGUAGUCCAGCUGUUGCCGUGCUAAUCACAUAGACCCUGUCAGAAUAAUAACUUGACAACUCGGUGACUCCACAAAAAAAAUUAAAGAUAACACAGUACAAAACAGACCAUAGACCAGCAAAUAUGUACGCUCAACUAUUGCCAGGAUUGAAUGAUUCAUCAAUAACCGAGUAACAGGACCAGCGUGGGAAAGAAGCCGUUUUAUAACGGUGAUGGAUCGAAUGUGAUGAAUAGCAAUAACUAGGUGUCUAUAACUAUAGCUCGUGUAUCUCUAUUGAUGGUCUUGUUUUCUUUAUUUCUUUUCCUCUGUCAUAGGGGACGCUGUUGCGACGGGCCACGCCGCACCCCGGAGAGCUGAGGAACAUGAAGAAGGUGGUGGAGAAUCUCCGCAACGGUCUGAACGCUGCCAAAGGCCUGGACUCCAACAAAAACGAGGUCAAUAACACUGUGGACCGAGUGACUACAUCUGUGUGACCGCUUUGUUUUCCUCCAAGAUGACCCAGUCCCCAUCGUGUCUUCCCACAAUGCACCUCAUCCAGCCUUCUCCCUGUGCUUUUUCUCCCUUGAAUGUGACUCUCCUUUCUCUGUGCUGGGUCUGUUCUGUUCUCUCCUUCAUCUCCUCAGAUCCUGAAUCAGGGAAAGACCACCAUGAUAGGUGCCUUCUUUUUUCUUUUUCUUGUUUAUCUUCAGAGCAAUAAUCCAUGGACUGCACAAUUUCUUUUUUCUUUUUAAAUUUUACAAUCCAGCCCUUUUUUUUUUUUUUUUUUUUUAAAGCUUUUUGAUUUUUUCCAAACACAUACCAAGUUAAAAUAAGUAGGUGCACUACAUUAAGUCUUAUAUUAAUGCUGACAGAAGCUCCAGUUAUAUAUUUACAUUCUAUUUUUCAUUUUUUGUUUUUUAAACACUGGGUGGAUGUUUCUUUUUUCUUUCUUUCUCAUGAACAUGAACUAUAGCGCGGGACUGGGGGCGGAGAAACCAGCGUGAACUAAACUAACGAACCUAAACAUGAAACAUGACAUGAACUAUGACUAUGAAUUGAACCAUGAAACUAUGAACUGUGACUUUGGUUCUCUAUCGUAAGGACACUGAACUAAUCUACUACAACUCAAUAUUCCGCGCUGUGUGCUGGGAGGCGCGCGGUAUAUAUACAAACAUAAUCAGCCUCGUAAUGGCUGAGGGCGAUUCAGACACACAUGAAACAACAACCAAUGACAGAACGGGGAGGAGACAUAACAGAAACAUAACAAAUGCACGUGUCGAAAUGUCACAAUUGUCAACAAGGGAAAAGCAGGUGCUCGCGCACCUGCUCGUGCACGCGCGCUCACAUGCUCCACAGCCGCGCUGCUUAAAGGGGAACUCAUGACAGAACUUGGUCGGCCGUGUCGGUAGACUCGGGCUUGAGCAGAACUUGGUCGGCCAUAUCAGUAGACUUGGGUGUGAGCAGAACUUGGUCGGCCAUAUCAGUAGACUCGAGCGUGAGCAGAACUUGGUCGGCCGUGUCAGUAGACUUGGGCUUGAGCAGGGCUUGGUUGUCCUGGUUAACAGACACUUGGGACAGUAACUGGGCUUUGCAGUGGAUCUGUGGAGCUGAGACCCACUCCUGAACCUCCGGCUGGGGCUCUGAUGCUGGGGCCUCCCUGUUGACCCGCUCGGCAGGUGAGCCCACCUCGUGUGUGUCAGGUUCGAGCUCUGAGGUCGCCAGGUUAACCUCAGGCUGGAGCUCCGGAGCUGAGACCUCCCCAUAGGUCUCGUGCUGGAGCUCUGAGGCCGCCAUGUGGACCUCUGGCUGGAGCUCGGCGGGUGAGACCUCCUCAUGGGUCUCAGGUUCGAGCUCUGAGGUCGCCAGGUUCACCUCCGGCUGGGGCUCGGGUGCUGAGACCUCCGACGGGAGCUCCGAGGUCACCCUGUUGACCCUGGGCUGGAUCUCUGCACGGGCUCUCCGGUGGAGUUUCUUAUGCUCCCGCCAGCUGCUCUUGAAGCAUUCAUGAGAGCAGUAGAAUGCUUCCUGGAGACACAGUUUUUUGCAGGUAGGGCAUUGUAGCUUGGUCUCCCUCCUGCAGCCCUCAGACAUGCAUGUCGGUGCCACCUCCACCACGUUGGCUGGAACCUGAAGCAGAUCGGUGGAGGCUGACCUGUCAAUCCUCUCAUAAUAGAGGUUAAAGGGCAGGUCAGGCUGGGGCUGUCCAUUGACUCUCCACCCCAGUAAAUCCAGACCAUGAAGCUGCCCUGGCUGCGUGAACUCCUCCAUAAAAAGUUCUGCAAAUUGAGUGACAUCCUGGAGGGCAGAGGACUCAGUGCUCACCAGCUGCUCCGCCCAGUCACGGGCCGGACCGCAAAACCUGGACACCAAGAACCCGAUCCACUGUCUCUUAGUAGGCUUGGGAUACGCCAGGCUGCAGAAAUAUUCCUGGCAGCUGAAGAGGAACUCCAGCGGGUAGCUGCUCAAUCCCGCUGUCUCUGGCGGCAGUUCAACGGCGUACCGUUGAGGGAACUGCACGGACAAGAAAUGUGAGCCUGUGCUGUCUCUGCCUUGCUGUGUGAGGUGGCAGAAUGUGGAGGAAGAGAGAUGGAGUUUGAUGUUGCACUUGGUCAAGAGGAGCUGACUGAAACAAGCCUACAGCUUACACACCUACUGCCAGCUGGGUAUAUACCGGUGCUGAUGGAGGACCGGCAGAGCGAGGCGGUGUACCUAGAGAUCAGUCCUCUUUUCCUCCAGGCCGAGAACAAACACAAACUCUUCCAGUUCUUCUCGCAGUUCCUCUAAGGCUGACGCAGGAGAAACACACGUCUACCCCGCUCUAGGUUUAGUUACAAAAUAUCUGUGUUUCUGGUAAUUCGCUUGGAGCAAGAUGUGUUCUUGAACGUGGACCUUUAAAAACUGCAUUUGGUUUCUCUCUUUCUUAUGAAUGUAGUUAGGAAAUGUUUGUUGUGGUUUUCAGUUUUGCACUGAAGCUAUGAGCCUAAUGUGCUGUAGCUAACAAGUAAAGCUUAUAUCUAGCGGUUUAGCAUCAUGAAACCUAAAGCAUUAUGCCUUUACUACUAGCAGCUAAAAAUUCUUUAUUUGUACAGAUAGAUUACUAAACCAGUGUGUGAUGAUUUAAGCGUUCAGUUUCCACACUGUUGACAGUUUAGAGCCUUGUAGCUCUAGUGCAAACUGAAGACUGAGCUCUGAGCUACAUGUUGUGUGUUAACUGUGUUAAUGUCAUUCGAUAUAAUGCUGAUGGUAGGCUUUGAGUGAGAAUAUUGGUAUGAGUUUGAGUUGAUCAGAGCUGUUAACCAAUAAGAGAGCAGGAUAUUGGUCAUUGUAUUCAGUUUAAUUAGUGAGUGUUUGACAAUGUUGGAUUGUUAGGAAGUUAACGAGUUCUUCUCUGGUUUCUGUUUGAUGAAAAUUGUUGCUUUAUAACGUUGCUUUGUUUGAUUUGGAGAGACGAAUACAGGUUUUGUUCUGCACCGUCACUCAAUCCGGAUCUUUCUUUUUCCACGUUCUCAUACAUGAUGCUGUUAACGAUGAGUGACGGAGCUCAUGAACCACUGACCCUCCAAUCAGCCCCUGAUUAUCCGCUGGUAAUGCCGUCAGCCCUCUCGGGACACCGUAGCAAUCCCAUAACCCCCCUCUUUCACCCCACACAAGUACAUAUAUAGACACACUCUUUCCACACGCAGCACGGCGAGAGAGAUGCUGACGGACAGGGCUGAUUACUAUAGUGCACCAGGUGCUGAGUAAGAUCUCAAGAGACACACACACACAGGUGAACUGCACAAGGACCUCCUGCACACUCGCGGAGAAGGCGAUCGAUAAUGUCGAGAGAGAUUCGCAGGUUGGACAACCCACUAAUACAGUAGUGUUUCUCCCGAAACAUAAUCAACAGAGCUCUAUCUCCUGGAAGAUCACAGCACCUGCACUCUGGACCAAUCACUUCUAGUGCACACAAAUCUGAUUAGGAUUUCAGAAACAUCUAGACAUUGAAGCAUUUCAACGGUGAAAGGGAUUUAUUUUAAUUUUUUCCAUCCCCGUAGCUCAGAUAAAAGUCAGCCAACCGUGCAGGAGUCACACCACUGUGUUUCGGAUGAACCCGAUCUCCUCGAUCUGACACUCCACGACGUGUCCUUUCUGUAUUCCUUCUGAAUUAUAAAGAAUCCCCCCACCCCCCCCCAUUUGCAGGUGCUGUGACUUCUACUUGUAGGGACCUGUUUAUUUUGGUUUUAGCCAAAUUACAAUAUUAAUUAAAAACAAACUACACAACAUAAGUAGCUGUCUGAUGGGUCAUGUUUUAGAAGCAGUACAAAGAACUAAUCAAAUUUAGCACUCAGGUGUAGUCAUGAGGUUUGUUUUGAUGGAACAUUUUAUUCAAAAGCUAAUUAAUUAGAAUUUUAUGCAAAACAUUCCUUUUUUUGUUGGCGGGGGGGGGGGGGGCGGUUGCGAGUUUAAAAGAAAUUAGCACUAAGGUGUGUUCAAUUGUUGGUUAUAAAAGAAACACUUCAGCGGGCAAGAUGCGUUUGAGAUCUAAACUUGGACCCAAAUUAAUUCGAAACAUAAGCACAUGAUUAUGAUUAACACAUCAGUGUAUACACCAACACACUGUAAACACUCCUGCAACGCUG